GUGUGUUUGCAUGCUAGGCAAUGUGGUGUUAAGGUGUGUACCUGAGAUCGUGUACCUACCCGAAGUCUAAAUCCGAUUGUGGCUUUGGAUUGGUUCCAUAGCGGGUGAAAGUCCCGUGCGGGUAGGACUAUUGUAAUCACACGGUCUUCAGAUGUGCAUGCUUUCGAGUCGGAUUGCUUGAGAAUGCAGUCCAAAGUGGGUGGUAAACUCCAUCCAAGGCUAAAUACUGGCACGAGUCCGAUAGUAGACAAGUACCAUGAGGGAAAGUUGAAAAGUACUCUGAAGAGAGAGUAAAUAAUACGUGAAGCCGAUUGCAGGGAAGCCGGUGGAGUCAAGCUUCGUGCUUGGGGGAUUGAUGCUGGGAGCAGGUGUGUGAAUUGGAUGCGUGAGUGGUCAACUUGGAAUAAGUUGGGCGUGUUCUGAAUGCGCUUCAAGUCAUUCCGGGUAGUGUGUUUUGGGCCAUUCUCGCUUUCCUACUCUCAGUGUUGUAUUCCCCGCUGCACAGGCCACAGUCGAUAGGUGCAUGCGGUAUGAAGACCUAACUGUGCUUCGGCGGGCGCAAGCUCUCCGGGUGCAGGAAGGCAGGUGCUGUCUUCAGGCCUYGUGUCUGUUGAUAGUUGUUUUGGUUUUGACCGGCUGGUUUUCAUA
RNAcentral lists this ribosomal RNA (648 nucleotides) under Scutogyrus gravivaginus. RNAcentral's name for it is "partial large subunit ribosomal RNA". The record is from RNAcentral. Lineage: Eukaryota; Metazoa; Platyhelminthes; Monogenea; Dactylogyridea; Ancyrocephalidae.